AAAGGAACCAGCUCUAGUCCCUUUGGAGGCUGAGAGACUCGUCUUUUCAAACUUUUCAUAGUCAUAACAAUUAUCUCAAUUCUGGGUUAAGUAAAAUUAUAAAACCAUAAAAAAUCAUUUUGGAGUCACCGAGGCCUUGACCCGCGGUGUCAGCAGUACGCACAGAGCGCCCGGCGGGGCCCUAACCCAGGGCUGGGCCUGGAACGCAGGUGCUGCCGUGACUGGGCAGUGAGCAGGCCGCGGCCUUGGCUGCGAGGCCUUAAACCGGCCGCCCGCCGCGCCCUGCAUGCUGGUUGGGCUGCAGGCAGGGUAGGAGCCUAUUCCGGGCUGCAAUGAUGGACGCCUUAGAAGAAGACAGCUUUGUGCUGUCUUUCUCCUCCACCUCUGAUGAAUUUGCUGUUGUGGUUGGAUAUUUAGAGGACAUUAGCAUGGAUAACGAGUUCCAGUUAUUACAGAGAAAUUUCAUGGACAAGUACUACCUCGAGUUUGAAGACAUGGAAGAGAAUAAACUCACCUACACACCUAUUUUUAAUGAAUACAUUUUUUUGGUAGAAAAAUAUAUUGAAGAGCAGCUGCUGGAGCAGAUUCCUGGAUUCAACAUGGCAGCUUUCACCACCACAUUACAGCACCAUAAAAGUGAAGCAGCUGGUGACAUAUUCGACAUGCUGCUACCUUCACAGUCUCGGACUACAGAGCAGAAAACGAAGGCCGAGGACUAGACCUAAGCAGUGGCUUAGUGGUCACUUCGUUGUGUCAAUCAUCUUCUGUGCCAGCUUCCCAGAAUAAUCUGCAGCACUGGGUCCUCCCUCCAGCCCAUGAAUUGGAACAUUCUGGAUGUCACCAGCCCAACAGGCUCAGCUCUUGAUGACAGAAUACAUCUUGGAAAAAGACUGACUCUGUUUUGUAAUUCUUCAUUUAUGUUAAAUAUUGACAGGUCAAAACCAAAAUGACCUAACCCUCCCAGACCUAUUGCUCCUGAAACACCUUCUCGUAUUCAUUAACCGUAGUACUCCUCCCCUCCUCAAGGAGACACUUCUCUCAGGAGCUUCUGAGUCAGACGCCUCUGGAGCGAGCCCAUGUCCAGCACUCCACCUGGGGGGUCCUUCCCCGACCACACAUGCUGGUGUGGACGUGUGGACGAACGCACCGCCACCCUCUGUCCCAGCAGGCUCUAUGUGAAACUUUGUGCAUGUGCAUCUCUCUCUCUUUCUCACAGGGGUCACAGUUUCGGUACUUCAGCCUCAAUGGGGUUCCUGGUGUCUAUCUAGGGUGUUACUCAAGCCCAGCUUGAGAUUCCAGAAUCUCCUGUGAUCACAGCUUGUCACGGCUGUAGGAAUCAACAGAAAGAGACGUCCUCUACAUAAAAGCUCCACGUGAAAAGCCACUCCUAGUCUUAACAUUUGCAGUCCUUGUGUCACUGUCUUCUGGUCCUGAUGUAGUCCCACUGUUUCUACUAGAAGUCUCUUUUAAGCAUUAUUUUAAAAAUAUAUAUUUUUAUAGAUGAAUACUCAGGCUAAUCUAGUGGAUAUGAUCUUGGGAUUUCCAUGAUUAUCCACUUAAAGAUCAAAGUAUUAUAUGCCGUGUGCUUUUUAGGUGUUAAUGCUGUGAAGGCAAAAAUGCUUUCUACAUUGGCGUUCGUUCCUAUUUGACUGGGCACCUAUGAAUGUAUGCUGUGUGCUAGAAAUAGACUAAAACAUUCUUACAGCAUGUUAGUGAGUUUGUGUGUUUGCUGAAGAUCCUUUCUGUAUAAACCAGUUUGUUAGGCUCUCUGGGUUAGGGACUCUGCAUUUUCUUCCUCUCCUACCGAGAUGGUGUUCCACUGGUCCAGCCUGGCGGGAGCAGCAGGCAGGGCACAGCUUUACUGGCUGUUUGCCGCUUUGCUUUAGUGCAAUGUGUGGUACAUUACUUAUCAGAAAACACGUAUGUCAUCUCUAGAAAGAAGAAAAACAUAGUAGUUCAAUGCCCAGUGUCCCUUUGAUUUUUUUUUUAAUAGUAAAAAUAAGAAUCCGUACUGACUUUUCACUUGGCCAUCCUGGUUUUAAAGGACAAGCUACAAGCUCCGUGUUUUUCUGUACUAAAGUGUCACUUAUUAAAUACUUUUGUACCAUGAAAAAA
This is an RNA transcript of Nomascus leucogenys (northern white-cheeked gibbon), 2115 nucleotides long. It is a transcript of the gene named ADP-ribosylation factor-like protein 2-binding protein, with no coding region annotated. The record is from RefSeq and is a predicted model, not a curated record. Lineage: Eukaryota; Metazoa; Chordata; Mammalia; Primates; Hylobatidae. The transcript is spliced from 2 exons.